Molecule: long non-coding RNA, 2420 nt
Filed under: Mus musculus (house mouse)
Lineage: Eukaryota; Metazoa; Chordata; Mammalia; Rodentia; Muridae
Description: long non-coding RNA chr11:90249522-90251942
Source: RNAcentral
GCCUGCUCUGGCCCGGGCCCUGUGCUGACCGACCCCCGGUGUGGCCCACUCCGGCCCUGCCCAGUUGCGUGGCUCCCGCCUGGCACGCCAGCGGCCUCGGAGCAGCUCAAGCCCAUGAGGCCGGCGCGCCCUGCCGCCGGUGCAAAAGAGACGGAGCUCCCGGCCCCCGCGGUGGAGCGGUGGAUCAAUGCGGUUCAGGAAUCGAUUCCAGCGGUGAGAGUUCUGCGGGGAACGUGCUCCGUCCCGGGGGAUCCCGAGCCCUGACGAGGACCGGCUCCCGGGAAGACUCGCAGUUCUGCGAUCCCCUUCCUCCAGGCAGCUUGGGAUCUGUGCCCCGGGACCCCGCAUCUGCUUUGCCUCCUCCAUCCGCUUGCAAACCUAGCUUGGCCCUUGAGAUCCCCAUCCAGACACCGCUGCUGCUAGCUUCUAGCAGACUACUCCAGCCUCAGAGCCCCCUCCCCACGACUCCACUCAGGGCCUCCACCCUUAUACAAACCCCAACGUGAGGUCUCUUAAGGCUGCUGCAGCACCCUGUGGCGAUGUUUGUCUUACAGCGGGUAGGAGGUCUGGCCUGAGCUUUUUGAGGUGUUUUGUCGGUGGUUGGCCCUAGAGACAGGGAAACUGAGGCACGCUUCUCUAGGUCCAGCUUUCCUGAUGGUGUCCGGAGGGGUUGUGUGUCUCGGGCUAAGAACCUAAUGGUGUGCUAUUUGGGGGAUUUUUUUUUGGCAGGGGCAAGUUAGCAUUCAGGUGGAGAGACAUGCCUUUGAGAAACCUGGUUUUAGGAAAUAGGGAGAAAGAACGGAGGAGGCGCCACCGGAAGGCGGGUUGUCUGCUCUACACUAAAGAGGUGGUAGGGUAGCCCGACUUGAGGGACAUAGUGUGGCCCUUCUCUCCCGGGUGGAUUACCUGCGUGGAAGGAAUGAUGAAGGCUGCCGACCUAUUGUUCCCAAAGAAAGCUCUGGGCUUUAAUGUUUCUAAGUGGGUGAAAGUUCACCCAUGGGGUUUCUGGUAACUCCAUCCCUUUGUCUGAGCCUGGCAGCCAUACCCAUUCCCAGCCCUUCACCACCAACAGGGUAGCCUAGUGUGAUGUACCAGAGAAUUCAAAAGCAGAAAUGCUUAAAAUCUUCCGAGCAGGCUAUUGAGUUUGAAGUGGUCUUUCUUUUUAUUUUAAAAUGUAAACACACCAUUUAGUUUUCCUUUCCCUUCUUUCCCCUGUUCACUCAUUAAUGCUUAUCUCAUUUCUUCCAGUCUCAAAGGGUAAAAGAGCCAACACAACAUGCACAGGAUGAGGGUGGUCUUUGCGCUCAGUAUUGGGGGAGAUCGGCUUGAAGAUUUGGAUUGCUUUCUGAAUAUUGCUUAUUACUUGGUGGCUGGAAGUCUGGCACUAUCGUUGGAGGAGAACUACGUCUCUAUGUCAAAGGCAGAAAGGAACCUUGGUCUUUCUCGUUUAGAACCACAGUGGAUUUAAGAGACUCUGUAACGUGUGUGAACCUCAUGUCCUGUGCGUGUGGGUUGUUUGUCUGAUUCUUUCCUUUGCAUGUCUUUGUGGGCUUCCUGCUUUCAGAGACCAGUAGCUAUAUUCUGCAAAAUUACCCCUUCCCUAUUUGACGAAGAGUUUGGGUUUCUAGUCUAUCCUUUUGAAUUCUAUAAAAAGAAGGAAAAUGUCUGUUUUUGCUUAUUGUACCAACAUUCAGAGAGCUCUAAAAUGAAAAAAUAAAAACCACCUCAGCUGAUUGAGCAAUCUUUUUUAAUGGACAGAAUUCACUUUCAUCCUAUUUUGGAGUCUUACCCAUUCAAACAUUAGAAUACACAGGGGUUAUCUUUCAGAGUAUCACAGAAUGUAAUUGUUGAGUAGGUGUAUAUUAUAGGUGUAUAUUAUUGUGCUCUGCAAAUGUUAGUUGUGUCUUUCUUGGUGAUCCCUGGGUCUCCUUUGAUUCUGAUUGAUGCAAUCCCUUCAUUACCUCUUUCUCUAUUAUAGCCUAGACUAUUUAUAAGCAUCAAUUUGAACUUGAGAAUCAGCCUGCAAAUACAAAGUAAUAUCAGAAAAGUCCUGAGUUUUAUGAUUCACACAUUAAAAGGUUGAAAAUUGUCUUCCACAUCUUUUUGUCUUCAUGAAACAUUUUGGUGUGCGUCCAGGGCGGGCAGAUCAUACGGGAGGCACACACUGUCUCUGAACUAAUAUGUUCUUUUCCUUGACAUACAUGCUGGUACUCAGUUGAGGAACAGUUCAUUAGACAAUGGUUUAUAGCUCUGCCUAAAUAAGAAAAUACCUUACAGUUCCACUCAAGGUGGAGCCUGGGUGGUUACUGUGGCUUUGGAUCAUCUUCCAGACUUCUGCCAUUUAUAUGAGGAAGGCUGUAAGGGAACAGUUAAAGCCACAAAAACAAACAAACAAACACCAAAGUAAACCUUAGGAUGUG